ACUCCUACGGGAGGCAGCAGUGGGGAAUAUUGCACGAAAUGGGCGCAAGCCUGAUGCAGCAACGCCGCGUGAGGGAUGAAGGCCUUCGGGUUGUAAACCUCUUUUAGCAGGGAAGAAGCGGAAAGUGACGGUACCUGCAGAAAAAGCACCGGCUAACUACGUGCCCAGCAGCCGCGGUAAUACGUAGGGUGCAAGCGUUGUCCGGAAUUAUUGGGCGUAAAGAGCUCGUAGGCGGUUUGUCACGUCUGCUGUGAAAAUCCAAGGCUCAACCUUGGACUUGCAGUGGGUACGGGCA
This 295-nucleotide ribosomal RNA is filed under the name uncultured bacterium. RNAcentral's name for it is "partial 16S ribosomal RNA". It matches the Rfam family "Bacterial small subunit ribosomal RNA", at positions 335 to 638 of the family's 1533-position model. The record is from RNAcentral.